GGAGGAGGAAGGCAGCGGCAGACAGAGGGAGGUGCUGCUGUGUCCGGCCACCAGGGGGGGCAGCGUGACGGCCAGGCCCAACAGGAAGCACAGACAGACCGCCAGACGGACGGAGAGCGGAGACGAAGAGUGACCUGAGAGGGUUUGUGGCGGCGUGCGGCGGCGGCCAGGCAUCGCUCCAGAGCUGCGACGGUGAGCAGGAAGAGGCCGGUCUGCGACGCAAACACACACAGGAAGCCGCUGAGGCGACACAGGAAGCUGCUCUCCCACCGCGCCCCGUACCUGCCACACACAGACCAACAACUUUUAUUUUGAAAUUUUCUCGCUUUCUUUGUAGUGAGAUGAUUACAGAUGUUUCGAAACUUCUACACAAGCUGCCAAACGUCCAGGCGUCCACCGCCGCCAGCCACCCGCUCCACACUCCCAUCAGGCCGUUCACCAGGGCCAGCAGACCAAUCAGCAGUUUGGGUGGAGUCAGGGAGGCGCCGGGGGAGAAGAAGACUGACAGGACGACCAGGCUGUUGCUGACCAAUGAGAGAGCUGCGAUGAGCCACACCCCCCCACGGAUCAACCAGCUGCCGAGCAGAUGGAGACACGGCCGGAACGGGCCUGCACGAGUUCAACGAUCUUCAGUUAGAGGUCACGUCAUCAGGGCUGCAGUGGACAGAGUGUUGAAGUUUAGGUUCAUCAUCAAACUCCAUCAGAAAGUCCUCCCAGUCCUGAUCUGCUGCAGAGACACAGGAAGGAGACGCAAGUAAAAGACUUUUACUUUGAAAUAUCAUUUCACUCUGAUAUUCCUCUCACUUCAGUAUUUAGCAGAAAAGCAGUUUUGUUGUCACCUUGGCUGGAGAGGACGGAGGUUUCUGCUGCCUCCUCUCUCUCCCAGGAUGCUCCUCCUCCUCCUCCUCCUCCUCCUCCUCCUCCUCCUCCUCUCCUCUCACAGGAGACGAAGGCACAGCACUGGAAGGCGUAAGGAAGCUCCAUCACCCUGAAAAUACACAAAAACAAACAUCUUUCUUAUUUACAGUGUAGAAAUACUAUUACUGCUAAAAGUAUUAAAAUACAGUAAAAGUUGUUAUUACGCAGAAUGUGUUGGAUAUAUUCUAUAAAUAUUAUUAUAAUAAUUAUAAUGCAUGUUAGUGAUGUAAUCUUGCAAGGUACAGCUCAUUUUAACUACUUAAUUCACUGUAAUGUAUAUAAAAAGUGCUCUAUUAAUACAAUGUAUUUAUUAUUAUUAUAAGAUUAUUGCAUGUAAAUACUGUAAAAUAACUACUGCUGGAAAGUAAAAAGUGAAAUAUGAAGUAUUAAGUACCUCAAAAUAGUAAUUAAUUACAGUAAAUGUAUUUAGUUACUUUUCACCGCUGGAUAUUUACCCGCGUUUAAUUUCCAAACACGCUCAAGUGUGUGUGUGUGU
Long non-coding RNA from Cottoperca gobio, 1414 nucleotides. RefSeq lists it as uncharacterized. NCBI's taxonomy places the organism in Eukaryota, Metazoa, Chordata, Actinopteri, Perciformes, Bovichtidae. The record is from RefSeq and is a predicted model, not a curated record. The transcript has 4 exons.